RNAcentral lists this ribosomal RNA (540 nucleotides) under uncultured bacterium. RNAcentral describes it as "bacterial SSU rRNA". It matches the Rfam family "Bacterial small subunit ribosomal RNA", at positions 777 to 1314 of the family's 1533-position model. The record is from RNAcentral.
AAUAGAUACCCGGGUAGUCCACGCCGUAAACGAUGAGUGCUAAGUGUUAGAGGGUUUCCGCCCUUUAGUGCUGCAGCUAACGCAUUAAAGCACUCCGCCUGGGGAGUACGGCCGCAAGGCUGAAACUCAAAGGAAUUGACGGGGGCCCGCACAAGCGGUGGAGCAUGUGGUUUAAUUCGAAGCAACGCGAAGAACCUUACCAGGUCUUGACAUCCUCUGACCUCCCUGGAGACAGGGCCUUCCCCUUCGGGGGACAGAGUGACAGGUGGUGCAUGGUUGUCGUCAGCUCGUGUCGUGAGAUGUUGGGUUAAGUCCCGCAACGAGCGCAACCCUUGACCUUAGUUGCCAGCAUUCAGUUGGGCACUCUAAGGUGACUGCCGGUGACAAACCGGAGGAAGGUGGGGAUGACGUCAAAUCAUCAUGCCCCUUAUGACCUGGGCUACACACGUGCUACAAUGGAUGGUACAAAGGGCUGCGAGACCGCGAGGUUAAGCCAAUCCCAGAAAACCAUUCCCAGUUCGGAUUGCAGGCUGCAACCCG